GCCCUCGUCGCCAAACUGGAUUAAGGCAUCCGUCUUCUAAACGGAUCAUUGCAGGUUCGAGUCCUGCCGGUGGCGCCA
RNAcentral lists this transfer RNA (78 nucleotides) under Pseudomonas putida. RNAcentral describes it as "tRNA-Arg". It matches the Rfam family "tRNA". Rfam says of the family: Transfer RNA (tRNA) molecules are approximately 80 nucleotides in length. Their secondary structure includes four short double-helical elements and three loops (D, anti-codon, and T loops). Lineage: Bacteria; Pseudomonadati; Pseudomonadota; Gammaproteobacteria; Pseudomonadales; Pseudomonadaceae. The record is from RNAcentral.